AAUAAGUGUAGUAUUACCCUAUUCACGUUUAAUAUUUAAUCGUCCAUUUAAUUUGAAAAUUUUCUAUAAUUAUUAUUUUUAUUGAUAUUAGAUGAUAAAACAUGAAUAGUAUUUAAUAUGUGACUCACUUGUUCUUUAGGUUUGUCCCCGCUUUCUCACAUCUGACGGACGGUUCCGUGUUGGGUUCGAAUCUUCACGGGUUGCUCCUAUA
This 211-nucleotide microRNA precursor is filed under the name Oryza sativa Indica Group (long-grained rice). RNAcentral's name for it is "MIR812 microRNA precursor family". It matches the Rfam family "MIR812 microRNA precursor family". The record is from Rfam by way of RNAcentral. Lineage: Eukaryota; Viridiplantae; Streptophyta; Magnoliopsida; Poales; Poaceae.